UACGUAGGGGGCCAGCGUUGUCCGGAAUCAUUGGGCGUAAAGCGCGCGUAGGCGGUCAGGUAAGUCCGGUGUGAAAGUCAUAGGCUCAACCUAUGGAUGCCGCUGGAAACUGCCUGACUUGAGUCCGGGAGGGGCGAGUGGAAUUCCUGGUGUAGCGGUGAAAUGCGCAGAUAUCAGGAGGAACACCGGUGGCGAAGGCGGGUCUCUGGGCCGAUAUUGACGCUGAGGAGCGAAAGCCAGGGGAGCGAACGGG
This 253-nucleotide ribosomal RNA is filed under the name uncultured bacterium. RNAcentral's name for it is "partial 16S ribosomal RNA". It matches the Rfam family "Bacterial small subunit ribosomal RNA", at positions 524 to 776 of the family's 1533-position model. The record is from RNAcentral.